Molecule: long non-coding RNA, 277 nt
Organism: Phyllostomus discolor (pale spear-nosed bat)
Lineage: Eukaryota; Metazoa; Chordata; Mammalia; Chiroptera; Phyllostomidae
Exons: 2
Source: RefSeq, a predicted model, not a curated record
AAGUUCUGUCCUAGCCAACUUAGAGCUUUUAACAGUGGCUUUUCCAUAUGAAUGGUUGGUCUUGGAUAAUGCUUCACAACUUCCUAAAUAUUUCAAACAAAUAACAGAGAGCUUCAGUGAGCCUCCAGCACCAAUACUUCUUGCUAAAUGACCCCAGUCCUGGCACUAGCAGCAGCCAGCCUAGAUUCACAGCUUGGCUUCGCCUGGUAUUUUCCAAACCCAGCACAAGUAGCAGCCAUCUCAGAUUGCUUUAUAACUCAGGUAGGGUGGCACCAGG